GACGAACGCUGACGGCGUGCUUAACACAUGCAAGUCGAAGGGAGUGGCAAACGGGUGAGUAACACGUGAGUAACCUGCCCUUUUCUUUGGUAUAAGCCUGGGAAACUGGGUCUAAUACUGUAUGGGUUGGGGUGGGCUCGCGGCUUAUCAGCUUGUUGGUGGGGUGAUGGCUUACCAAGGCUUUGACGGGUAGCCGGCCUGAGAGGGUGGUCGGCAACACUGGGACUGAGAUACGGCCCAGACUCCUACGGGAGGCAGCAGUGGGGGAUAUUGCACAAUGGACGAAAGUCUGAUGCAGCGACGUCGUGUGGGGGAUGAAGGCCUUCGGGUUGUAAACUUCUUUCGCCAGCGGAAGGGUAGUUGGUAAAGAAGCGCCGGCUAACUACGUGCCAGCAGCCGCGGUAAUAC
RNAcentral lists this ribosomal RNA (408 nucleotides) under uncultured bacterium. RNAcentral describes it as "partial 16S ribosomal RNA". It matches the Rfam family "Bacterial small subunit ribosomal RNA", at positions 28 to 526 of the family's 1533-position model. The record is from RNAcentral.